RNAcentral lists this long non-coding RNA (4224 nucleotides) under Equus caballus (horse). RNAcentral's name for it is "lncRNA (ENSECAG00000052153.1)". The record is from RNAcentral. Lineage: Eukaryota; Metazoa; Chordata; Mammalia; Perissodactyla; Equidae.
AAGGGGACGGGGCCCCGACUCCGCCGCUACUUCCGAGGCCCUCUGGGAAUCGUAGUUUUCUGGGAUCAUUUUGCACCGGCACUCUGCGGUCUUUGCGCCUUAUGGGGUCGCUGCAAGCAGGUUGGAGCCCCAGGGGCUCCGCACACCCUGAUUGAACUGACUCCGCUGAUUCCCGCUGAUCAGUCUUUCUCGGAAAGCCCCUCAGAUUGCUCGUUUGUCUCGGCUCCCUGGACCUGGUCGAGGCUUCAAUCCCGUCCGCCAGGCUUGUUGCAGCUGGCCAAAGUGCUCCUUCUUAUAAUUCUCGUUACUGCUCUGCCACCCCAACCAGACUUUCUUGCAAAACUUGGUAUUUCAAUUAGUCUGCAGAUAUUUCUUGAAUACCAAAUAUGUGGCAGUAGCUUUCUUAGUGUGAGAAAAGCAAGAUUUGACUCCCAAGACUCAUCAUCUACGUGGAAAGAUAAAACAAAGACACAAAUAGCUAUAGUAUAAGACGCCUGCUACCCUCCCUCCUGCAUACUGACUUCAUCUUGUAACAGGCUUUGUGAUAAAAACCUGGGAGAAUAUUGGUUCUGGAAUUCCUUGUGGACAAGUCUGGGGAGACCAUUGGUCCUGGCUCCACUCCUGGAAGGGUCUUUCAGAUUUUCAGAAGAAAACUCCUGGCAGACAAAUGAAUCUUUCCUCUCUGCAGUCUCGGGACUGGGCCUUUUCCAAGAGGACACAGAAGAGGAGAGAAUGGCAGCUGUGCCCCUAGCAGCCAGAUGGCAGUUGAAGAGAGGCAAAGAGCCAUGGAAACUUGAUCAUCAGGAAGCUGAGGAGAGAGAAGUCCCAGGAAGCACUUCUCUAGGAAUGCGUGAGCUGGGCAGAUGGGGCUUUGCUGGACAGUUCACUUAGAGACCACUCCUUAGGAUCGCAUAGACCUAUGAGAUGGCCACUGCCACACUGGCCUUUGCCUGGAAAACUCGUACCAUGUAUAGCCACAUGGCCUUCUUGUCACCUUUUUCAAGUUUUUGCUCAAAUGUGCCACCUUCUCAGUCAGGCCUGGCCUGAUGACCCUAUGUAAAAUUGAACCCUCUCCAUCCCUUUGUCCCUCCCAGCCCCUGCACCACCCGCUCUCUUCCCGACUCUGUCUUCCUAACAUACUAUAGUUUUACUUCUUCAUUUUGUUGGUUGUCUGUCCACACCUACCCUCUGUUAAAGUAUAAACUCCAUCAGAGACUUUUUCUGUUGUUUGCUACUGUAUCCCCAGUACUUCAAACAGUACCUGGUACAGAGCACACACUCAGGUAUUUGUCAGAUGAAUGAAUAAGUGGAGUGUGCAUAGCAAGGCCCGCCCCCGUUGGGUUUUUUGCAGGGAGGGUUGAGAUCUAUCAUUAUUUCAACUCUGAUAUCACUUACUUAUCUUUUCUGCAUAUCCUUUACCGUAUCUCCUCCUCUUCCUUUAAAUUACCAUUCAGUGGCCAUUGACAGUUCACUUUCUCAGGUGCUAGCCUGUCUCCCCACUUUUUCUCUGCUGUUUAUACUCAUCGAGUAACAAACUGCCCAGUCAUUUCCCCGCUUCAUUGUGUAUCUCCUAUUUUUAUGCACGUAUCUCUCUCUGAAAUGCUCUUCUUUUGGCUGUGUACUUGGUUAACAACUUUCAGAUCUCAGCUUAAAUGUCACUUCUAGAUGACCGUUCUUAAGGGUCCCUCUAAAGAAGUCCCCACUCCAACUCUCAUUCAUCAUUUCCUUUGCUGUACUUAUCACCAUCUGUUAUAUUUUGUUUAUUUAUUCUUUGUCUUCUGUCUAGUAGAAUAUAAGCAUAACAAGGGUGGGGACCAUGUCUGUCUUGUUCAUUAGGGUCCCAAUGACUUUUACCAUGCCUCCUUACCACUAGGCAGGCCCCUAGUAAAUAUCUCAUGAAUGAAUAACUGAAACUUGUUCAGUGGGCUAGAUGCCCACCUUCCACUUCUGGUCUCUAUUCCUCUUUUUUCCUCUGCCAUUUUUCAGCCUCUCCGUAAUGUUUUUUCUCUGAGGAGCUACCAAUAAACCCAGCAGUAUUUUGCAUUUGUUCUUUUCUUAAUAUAUAUACAAUGUUUUCCUUUUCACUAGCACUCAAACCCAGUUAUAUCUGUGUUUUCUGUUUGUUUUAUACCAGAAGGCUAGACUUAAGAGCCAGGACUCAACUGAAAAGCAGGAUGUUUCUAAAAAAGUAAAGUCAUUACUGAAAAUACAAGACAUGAAUGAAAAACCUCAGAAAAGAUGGUCCUCUGGGUCCUGUACUUGGCCCAGAAAACCCUGAGGGCACAAAGAAAGAAAAUGCUUCAGGGGAGACUUUGAAGAAAUCGUCCCCCAAGGAGAAGGACUCAGGCAAGGAUACACUCUUGCCAAACAAACUGACAAUAAGGAGAUACAGUUGGAAGGCAGUGUAUGUGGGAAGACCUUAUAUAACCAUUUACCCCUCACUUGCCAUCAGAGGACCCACACUGAAGAGAAGCCCUACGACUAUAAAGAAUGCGGGAAAGCCUUCAGCUAUAGGAGUAGUCUUAAGAAACAUUUGAUGUCUCACACUGGCAAGAGCACCUCUGAAGGCAGCGAAUGUCAGGAAACUUUCCAUGACCAAUUAACCCUUAUUGAACAUCAGCGAAGUCAUACCAGAGGGAAGCCUUUUGAAUGUAAUGAAUGUGACAAGGCUUUCUUUGUCCACUUGUGCUUUACUCCACAUCAGAGAAUUCAUACUGGAGAAAGACCUUGUGAGUGUACAGAAUGUGGGAAAUCCUUUAGCCAGAAAAGCAAUCUCAGUCACCACAUGCUCACUCACCCUGGAGAGUGGCCCUGUGGGUGCAAGGCAUGUGACAAAGCUCUGCUUGACCACUCCUCCCUCGUUCACCACAGGAAAGCGCACACUAGAAAGACCCCUUUUGAAUGUAAUGAGUGUGGGAAAGUUUUCUUUGACCCCUCAUCCCUUAAUAAACAUCAGAAAAUUCAUAGUGGAGACAAGCCCUAUAAAGGCACUGAAUGUGGGAAAGCCUUCCUCCAGAAAAGACAACUUAUUCAACAUGAAAGAGUGCACACUGGAGAGAAAUCCUGCAAGUGCAGCAUGUGUGGGAAAGUGCUCAGUUGAAAGUCAUCUAUCAUCUGACAUCAGCGACAUUAUGCAGACAGGCUUCAGAGUAUCACGAAGGUGCUUCAGCUGGACAAGGGACCCCCGUAGUGACUUUGAAACCAGAGGCCAACUUGCUUUAACUAUACUCAGUUAGUUGUCUGUUUGCAAAAGUAGUUAGAUAAUGCAUUGCUAAAACCUGCCCUAUAAAUAACGUCUCUGAUGCCUGGGUCACCGUAAUAACAGGUGCUUGAGUUUUUCAGGAUCUGAAAGUCGACUCCUUGUCCAGUUCAGGCUGGUUAAGACAACCAACUCAUCAACUGGACCUGCACAGAUGACCAAUAGGUGACACUGUGACAUCAAGGAGCUGAAAACUCCACCCUCAGAUCAUGGUAAUGCUGCCAUUUUGUGAAUAUGUGUCCUAUGAAGAGCCAUGAAGCUUGACUAGACUUGCACGGAUCAUCAAUUACCUCACUUCUCCUUCCCUCCAAUCAUCUUUUCCCACUUCAGACCAUCCUGCCUGCCCCCUUAUCCCAUAAAUAUCCCUCGUCCCCAUUUUGGGGGGGAGGUAGAUUUGCCCACCUCCUUGCUUGGCUGCCUUGUGAUUAAAUCCUUUCUCUUUGCAGACUCGUCAUCUCAAUGAUUGGCAUAAUUGUGUGCCAGGAAAAACAAACCUGGUUCAGUAACUUCAAGAUAAUGAAGAUUUAUCUUUGAGCGCCUUCUAACUACUGUUAAUUCUCAUGCCUCCAUUUGGUACCAGAGUCUCAAUAAAUAGUCUCAGUAGAUCACACCAUGGACUUCCCCUGGGGUACUUGAAAUUUAAGAUAAUAGUCUGAGGAGCCCCAAAUUGGUCAGAUCAGAAGCUUUCCAAUCAACAUGCUUUGUAAGUGUUUGAAGGGGAUUCUAAGAUAAGCAUCAUAUAUUUUAUUUAUUUAUUUAUUCAUUCAUUCAUUCAUUUAUUGCUAGACUGCUCCAUGAGAACAGGAACUUUUUCAUAUCCAUGCACUGCUGUGUCCCCAGUGUGGUGCCUGGCACUUAUUACAUAGUUUCUGAAUGAAUGAAUACCUGUCUAGUCAUGAGAACUUGAGUCCCAAAUCAAGUGCACUUUCUAGAACUAGAAACUUCGGUACCAAAAUAAACAUCAA